CAGUAGCCGCGGGAAAACGGAGGGUGCAAGCGUUAAUCGGAAUUACUGGGCGUAAAGCGCACGCAGGCGGUCUGACAAGUCAGAUGUGAAAUCCCCGGGCUUAACCUGGGAACUGCAUUUGAAACUGUCAGGCUGGAGUCUUGUAGAGGGGGGUGGAAUUCCAGGUGUAGCGGUGAAAUGCGUAGAGAUCUGGAGGAAUACCGGUGGCGAAGGCGGCCCCCUGGACAAAGACUGACGCUCAGGUGCGAAAGCGUGGGGAGCAAACAGGAUUAGAGACCCCAGUAGUCCCUGUCUCUUAUAA
This 301-nucleotide ribosomal RNA is filed under the name uncultured bacterium. RNAcentral describes it as "partial 16S ribosomal RNA". It matches the Rfam family "Bacterial small subunit ribosomal RNA", at positions 509 to 809 of the family's 1533-position model. The record is from RNAcentral.